AGUGAGGCACAGGAUGCUGGUCACCACAGCAGCAGCAGUGAAGUCUAUGGAUCCUCCGUGGAGGAAAAACACACAGCCACAGAAGGGAAGCUAAUCUGAGGCGUCAACAGUGCAGGACAUCAACAUAUGGCACAUUCUUACAAAGAAGACAGGACAUCUCUGUCCCAUAAGUGGAUUUGUCAACCAGGAAACCAGGUUGUAUUUAUAGAAGAUUCUAAGUAAGGGUCAGAGGACAGUAAUCUGGCCUCACUUUAGCCUGACAUCAGUAACAAUCUGGGCUGGAAGUCCAAGCAGCAUAUCCAUGUGUGAGAUCAAUUUCCUCAGACAUUGUUCCCUCUUAACAAGGCAUGCAUAUGCACCAGUAAUGGAGUACUGUAAACCUUAAAUGCACCUUUGAGCCUGCUGGAGAGGUGGCAGGGGAAUAACUGUCAUCAAUCACCUAAUGUAAACAGCUCAGUUAAGAAGUGAUGUGUGCUGCUGUUGCAUAAUGACAGAGCAAGCUGCUACCCUGCUGACAAAAGGCUCUUUACUGUAGAGGCUGUUUCCUGACACAUGCUGGAGUCAGUAUGGUGGAGCUGCUUUUACUGGAGAACACUGGAUCCCUCUAAUGUUGAAAGCAAUCAUUUUCUCUCUUAAUCCUCAGAUCAAACAUUACUGAUUAAAUACUUUUGUUAGAAUAUUGUUUUACUGUGAAAGCACACUGCAUUUCCAUUGCUUUUAUUACUGCGGUAUAACUUCAUGUAACAUUUAUGUUAAUUUUUUGAAUUUGUUUGCAUGUUUUGUUUUAGCAAUUUAAAUCAGUACUUCACUCCACUGCAGAAAAAAGCAGACUCUGGAGCUGGAGAUAUAAUAAUCUGGAUCAGUUUUAGCCAAGCUGGUGCUGCAGCCGUGUCAUCUGUCUGAUGUCUGUUCAGUCUCACCAACUAUUGCAUUGUAAUAUUGUUUUUCACAAAUAUUCAUGCAACUCAGUCAUUUCUGUCAAUGCCCCCCUGCUGCCUAAACACUGACACCAAGCAGGUUUUCUCUGUUUUUCCUCUGGUCUGGAAAUAUCUGCCAUCCAUAUAAGGACCUAUCUAAAUCAGUUCUAAAGACCUACACAUUUUCACUUUCUGUUAUUCUGAGACGCGUUAUGGUUUUGUCGAGUCCACUGUAAUUGUUUUCUUACCUCUUUUUUGUUUUAUUUUAGCUCUUGUUCCUAAUAUUUAUAUUUAUAUUUCAUUUUUAUUCGACUCCUUUUAUCAUUUGAGCUUGCUAGCUAGCUUUGCUUUCCAAAAUAAUGUGCUGUUUAUGUGUGUUUUUGUGUUUUGUACUUGGAUUUGUGGAGACCUGACACAGAAAAUGGGCUUGCCUUAACUUGACUCAGUUUGACCUGACCUUUGGUUUUGAGUGAGAUAUCUCAAUAAGCACUUAAUUGAUUAUUGAUUCAGUCAUUUCACCCUGAGGAUGAAAGAAAUGCAAUAGUUCUGUGAUCCCCUGAGGUUUAUACAGCUUCAUCAGUAGUUUUCAUUACAUUUAUUUCUGAAUUAUUUGGUAAAACUACUAAUAUUCAGGCUCCUGCAGGGUCCUAUAUUUAAAUGAAAAUGUAAGCUUACAUAUGAAAAUGUAAUUCCACAACAGUUAUAUUUAUCCACAAAUAUGUGUGUUAUUCGAGUAAGAAUGUGUGUGUGUGUGUGUGUGUGUGUGCGCGCGCGCGCGCGCGUGUGUGUGUGUGUGUGCGCAUGUGUGUGUGUUAAAAUGAAUGUGAAAAAGCUGUUUUACAUUUAAUGUUUAUGGUUUUUGUACAGUUUCAUUUUCAAAAACAUACCACAGUUUACAUGAGCAACCAAGCAAAUGUUAAUUCAAAUUUUAAAAUAAAAUAAAACAAUAUUAAG
Astatotilapia calliptera (eastern happy) is the source of this 1871-nucleotide long non-coding RNA. Lineage: Eukaryota; Metazoa; Chordata; Actinopteri; Cichliformes; Cichlidae. The record is from Ensembl.